This 404-nucleotide ribosomal RNA is filed under the name Actinomycetes bacterium. RNAcentral's name for it is "Actinobacteria bacterium partial 16S ribosomal RNA". It matches the Rfam family "Bacterial small subunit ribosomal RNA", at positions 355 to 776 of the family's 1533-position model. Lineage: Bacteria; Bacillati; Actinomycetota; Actinomycetes. The record is from RNAcentral.
UGGGGAAUAUUGGACAAUGGGCGCAAGCCUGAUCCAGCCAUGCCGCGUGAGUGAUGAAGGCCCUAGGGUUGUAAAGCUCUUUCACCGGUGAAGAUAAUGACGGUAAUCGGAGAAGAAGGUCCGGCUAACUUCGUGCCAGCAGCCGCGGUAAUACGAAGGGGGCUAGCGUUGGUCGGAUUUACUGGGCGUAAAGCGCACGUAGGCGGUCUUUUAAGUCAGGGGUGAAAUCCCGGGGCUCAACCCCGGAACUGCCUUUGAUACUGGAAGUCUUGAGUAUGGUAGAGGUGAGUGGAAUUCCGAGUGUAGAGGUGAAAUUCGUAGAUAUUCGGAGGAACACCAGUGGCGAAGGCGGCUCACUGGACCAUUACUGACGCUGAGGUGCGAAAGCGUGGGGAGCAAACAGG